GAUAUUCUUCGAAGCCCCGCCUAUUCACUCUGGUGACAAAUGCGCUUUACCACCUCCAGACCGGUAGGUGGCGGUAAUGAUCACAAACGGCCCACAGAAGAAACCCUAAAAGCUAGCAGACAAAUGUAGCAGCAGCAGCGCUGUAAACCAUCACCAGGCUGUGGAAACUUUAUUCUCCUCAACAACUUGGUGGAGUUCUUUCCAGAACCAGAGAAGAUAUUCUGCGGUCUUCGUGACAAUCGGAGCUCCAGAAUCAGGUUGUGGUGGCUGAGCGGAGAGCUGACCAGGAACAACGGUGGUGGCAAAACCCAGUUGGGUCUGUGAUGGAAUGAUGCACGCCUGGAGUGAUUGCCAUCUCAUCCACAGGUUCUAACAUCAGGCAGAGGGAUACUCGUGUCCUGAAGAAACCUGCAGCCUGUUGAACCCACUGAAAAACAGCUGUACGGCCUUUUUGAUUGUCUGUUUACUCCAUUUAAUGCCUCUUGUGUUUUUCAUGCCUUUUUGACUUUCUAUUUCCUCCCUUAGGUUUUCC
This 532-nucleotide long non-coding RNA is filed under the name Nothobranchius furzeri (turquoise killifish). Its description in RNAcentral is "lncRNA (ENSNFUG00015010517.1)". Lineage: Eukaryota; Metazoa; Chordata; Actinopteri; Cyprinodontiformes; Nothobranchiidae. The record is from RNAcentral.